AUUGAACGCUGGCGGCAUGCUUUACACAUGCAAGUCGAACGGCAGCACGGGUGCUUGCACCUGGUGGCGAGUGGCGAACGGGUGAGUAAUGCAUCGGAACGUGCCCAUGAGUGGGGGAUAGCCCGGCGAAAGCCGGAUUAAUACCGCAUACGCCCUUAGGGGGAAAGCGGGGGAGUCUUCGGACCUCGCGCUAUUGGAGCGGCCGAUGUCGGAUUAGCUAGUAGGUGAGGUAAAGGCUCACCUAGGCGACGAUCCGUAGCUGGUCUGAGAGGAUGAUCAGCCACACUGGGACUGAGACACGGCCCAGACUCCUACGGGAGGCAGCAGUGGGGAAUUUUGGACAAUGGGCGCAAGCCUGAUCCAGCCAUGCCGCGUGAGUGAAGAAGGCC
This 389-nucleotide ribosomal RNA is filed under the name uncultured bacterium. RNAcentral's name for it is "bacterial SSU rRNA". It matches the Rfam family "Bacterial small subunit ribosomal RNA", at positions 28 to 416 of the family's 1533-position model. The record is from RNAcentral.